Molecule: ribosomal RNA, 253 nt
Filed under: uncultured bacterium
Lineage: Bacteria
Description: partial 16S ribosomal RNA
Rfam family: Bacterial small subunit ribosomal RNA
Source: RNAcentral
UACGUAGGGUGCGAGCGUUGUCCGGAAUUAUUGGGCGUAAAGCGCGCGUAGGCGGUUACUCAAGUCGGAUGUGAAAGCCCUCGGCUUAACUGAGGAAGUGCACCCGAAACUGAGUAGCUAGAGUACUAAAGAGGGUCGCGGAAUUCCCGGUGUAGAGGUGAAAUUCGUAGAUAUCGGGAGGAACACCGGUGGCGAAGGCGGCGACCUGGGUAGAUACUGACGCUGAGGCGCGAAAGCAUGGGGAGCGAACAGG